RNAcentral lists this non-coding RNA (175 nucleotides) under Pseudomonadales bacterium. Its description in RNAcentral is "6S RNA". It matches the Rfam family "6S / SsrS RNA". Rfam says of the family: E. coli 6S RNA was the first non coding RNA to be sequenced, but its function was unknown until recently. It consists of 184 nucleotides that fold into an extended hairpin structure with a large single-stranded internal bulge. The 6S RNA specifically associates with RNA polymerase holoenzyme containing the sigma70 specificity factor. The record is from RNAcentral. Lineage: Bacteria; Pseudomonadati; Pseudomonadota; Gammaproteobacteria; Pseudomonadales.
GAGUACCUGGGGUGUUUGCCAGUUGAGACAUCCUUGAGCCGAUAAGUGUUACCUCGGGAGCUACUCGUUGAUGAUGGUGUGCAUACCCGCAAGUCGGGGAGCCUUUUUUAUCACAGUUUUUCCCACCUUGAACCCCGGGUUCAAGGUAAAUUCAGCAGCGGCACCUUGGGACUCU